RNAcentral lists this ribosomal RNA (543 nucleotides) under Polypedates leucomystax (Java whipping frog). RNAcentral's name for it is "partial 16S ribosomal RNA". It matches the Rfam family "Bacterial large subunit ribosomal RNA", at positions 1834 to 2597 of the family's 2925-position model. The record is from RNAcentral. Lineage: Eukaryota; Metazoa; Chordata; Amphibia; Anura; Rhacophoridae.
CUUGACUUAUAAUAAGAGGUCCAGCCUGCCCAGUGAAUUUUAAACGGCCGCGGUAUCCUAACCGCGCGAAGGUAGCAUAAUCACUUGUUCUUUAAAUGGGGACUCGUAUCAACGGCAUCACGAGGGUUUUACUGUCUCCUCUUUUUGAUCAGUGAAAUUGAUCUUCCCGUGAAGAAGCGGGAAUAUUUUUAUAAGACGAGAAGACCCCAUGGAGCUUUAAACCAAAUAACAACUUAACUACUUAUCCCACAAUAAAUUUAAGCCCUGUUAUAAGGUUUUUGGUUGGGGUGACCGCGGAGUAAAGCACAUCCUCCACGACGGAAAGAACAUAAUCUUUAUUUAAGAACCACACUUCUAGAAAUUAGUAUACUAACGUUUACUGACCCGACAAUCGAUCAACGGACCAAGUUACCCUGGGGAUAACAGCGCAAUCUACUUCAAGAGCUCAUAUCGACAAGUAGGCUUACGACCUCGAUGUUGGAUCAGGGUAUCCCGGUGGUGCAGCCGCUACCGAAGGUUCGUUUGUUCAACGAUUAAAACCCU